Long non-coding RNA from Ostrinia nubilalis (European corn borer), 529 nucleotides. RefSeq lists it as uncharacterized. The record is from RefSeq and is a predicted model, not a curated record. The transcript is spliced from 3 exons. NCBI's taxonomy places the organism in Eukaryota, Metazoa, Arthropoda, Insecta, Lepidoptera, Crambidae.
AAUGUCAAUUCGUCAGAAAUAAUUCGUCAUUCAUUUACAAAAUUUAAUCGAAAUUAGAUUAUUUAAAAUUGUGACUAGAUAAUAAAUUAUCCAAGCUGGCAUCAAGAAGGAUACUUUUCGUGGGCAUCCACAGCUUUUCUCCGACGUUGUCGUAUCGCGCUCCAUUUAAUAGGUUAGGAUUUAUGUUUCAAGUUUGAAAAAGUAUAACUUUUUAAAUCUUUUGUGUGCUUUUAGUACUUUAGUGCGUUCUGUGCUCGUAGACUAUUCACCCUAGUGUUUAAAAUUUGAGCCUCAACCGCCGUUGGCACUCCAACAUGACGUCACCGCAGUGCUCGCCGCGGCACCCGCCGGGGCGGAGCGAACCUCGCCCCCCGCCCGCCGCGCCCGCGAUCCUGAAGAGAUACGACGAUAUCGUCAAGUCGCAGGAGGAUAAGCGGGAAUACAGAGGCCUGGUGCUGUCAAACCACCUCAAAGUCCUGCUGGUCAGCGACCCGACCACAGACAAGUCGGCUGCGGCCCUGGACGUCAA